CCCCGCAAGGGGAGCGGCAGACGGGUGAGUAACGCGUGGGAAUCUACCCAACCCUACGGAACAACUCCGGGAAACUGGAGCUAAUACCGUAUACGCCCUUUUGGGGAAAGAUUUAUCGGGGGAUGGAUGAGCCCGCGUUGGAUUAGCUAGUUGGUGGGGUAAAGGCCUACCAAGGCGACGAUCCAUAGCUGGUCUGAGAGGAUGAUCAGCCACAUUGGGACUGAGACACGGCCCAAACUCCUACGGGAGGCAGCAGUGGGGAAUAUUGGACAAUGGGCGCAAGCCUGAUCCAGCCAUGCCGCGUGAGUGAUGAAGGCCUUAGGGUUGUAAAGCUCUUUCACCGGAGAAGAUAAUGACGGUAUCCGGAGAAGAAGCCCCGGCUAACUUCGUG
Molecule: ribosomal RNA, 391 nt
Filed under: uncultured bacterium
Lineage: Bacteria
Description: bacterial SSU rRNA
Rfam family: Bacterial small subunit ribosomal RNA
Source: RNAcentral